AACAUCUGGGAAUGUUUUUGUUGAGCUAGUGGACAAAGACUAAAGACAGGUAUAAAAAUAGAUCCUCUUUUGCAACCCAGAACUCAUCAUUUAGUAUGAGUUUUGAUGUUUUGAUACAUAUAAGGACUAU
This is a small nucleolar RNA of Peromyscus maniculatus bairdii (prairie deer mouse), 130 nucleotides long. The record is from Ensembl. Lineage: Eukaryota; Metazoa; Chordata; Mammalia; Rodentia; Cricetidae.